CUGGCUCAGGAUGAACGCUAGCGACAGGCUUAACACAUGCAAGUCGAGGGGCAGCGGGGGUGAAAGCUUGCUUUCGCCUGCCGGCGACCGGCGCACGGGUGAGUAACACGUAUGCAACCUGCCCACCGCAGGGGGAUAAGCCGGAGAAAUCCGGUCUAAUACCGCGUAACAUCUUCUUGGGACAUCCCUUGAGGAUCAAAGGAAGCGAUUCCGGUCAAGGAUGGGCAUGCGUCGCAUUAGCUAGUUGGCGGGGUAAAGGCCCACCAAGGCGACGAUGCGUAGGGGUUCUGAGAGGAAGGUCCCCCACAUUGGUACUGAGACACGGUCCAGACUCCUACGGGAGGCAGCAGUGAGGAAUAUUGGUCAAUGGUCGGAAGACUGAACCAGCCAAGUAGCGUGAAGGAUGAAGGUUCUAUGGAUUGUAAACUUCUUUUAUACGGGAAUAAAACCUCCCACGUGUGGGAGCUUGUAUGUACCGUAUGAAUAAGCAUCGGCUAACUCCGUGCCAGCAGCCGCGGUAAUACGGAGGAUGCGAGCGUUAUCCGGAUUUAUUGGGUUUAAAGGGAGCGUAGACGGGAUGUUAAGUCAGUUGUGAAAGGCUGCGGCUCAACCGCAGCACUGCAGUUGAUACUGGCGUCCUUGAGUGCGGUUGAGGUAUGUGGAAUUCGUGGUGUAGCGGUGAAAUGCUUAGAUAUCACGAAGAACUCCGAUUGCGAAGGCAGCAUACUAAGCCGCUACUGACGUUGAGGCUCGAAAGUGUGGGUAUCAAACAGGAUUAGAUACCCUGGUAGUCCACACGGUAAACGAUGAAUACUCGCUGUUGGCGAUAUACAGUCAGCGGCCAAGCGAAAGCAUUAAGUAUUCCACCUGGGGAGUACGCCGGCAACGGUGAAACUCAAAGGAAUUGACGGGGGCCCGCACAAGCGGAGGAACAUGUGGUUUAAUUCGAUGAUACGCGAGGGACCUUACCCGGGCUUAAAUUGCACUGGACAGGCUCAGAGAUGGGCUCUUCUUCGGACCAGUGUGAAGGUGCUGCAUGGUUGUCGUCAGCUCGUGCCGUGAGGUGUCGGCUUAAGUGCCAUAACGAGCGCAACCCUUGCCAUUAGUUACUAACAGGUUAUGCUGAGGACUCUAGUGGGACUGCCAUCGUAAGAUGUGAGGAAGGUGGGGAUGACGUCAAAUCAGCACGGCCCUUACGUCCGGGGCUACACACGUGUUACAAUGGGAGGUACAGAAGGCUGCUACCCGGCGACGGGAUGCCAAUCCCCAAAACCUCUCUCAGUUCGGAUUGGAGUCUGCAACCCGACUCCAUGAAGCUGGAUUCGCUAGUAAUCGCGCAUCAGCCACGGCGCGGUGAAUACGUUCCCGGGCCUUGCACACACCGCCCGU
RNAcentral lists this ribosomal RNA (1389 nucleotides) under uncultured bacterium. RNAcentral describes it as "16S ribosomal RNA". It matches the Rfam family "Bacterial small subunit ribosomal RNA", at positions 19 to 1397 of the family's 1533-position model. The record is from RNAcentral.